Molecule: ribosomal RNA, 512 nt
Filed under: uncultured Hanseniaspora
Lineage: Eukaryota; Fungi; Ascomycota; Saccharomycetes; Saccharomycodales; Saccharomycodaceae
Description: eukaryotic LSU rRNA
Rfam family: Eukaryotic large subunit ribosomal RNA
Source: RNAcentral
AAACCAACUGGGAUUACCUUAGUAAACGGCGAGUGAAGCGGUAAAAGCUCAAAUUUGAAAUCUGGUACUUUCAGUGCCCGAGUUGUAAUUUGUAGAAUUUGUCUUUGAUUAGGUCCUUGUCUAUGUUCCUUGGAACAGGACGUCAUAGAGGGUGAGAAUCCCGUUUGGCGAGGAUACCUUUUUCUGUAAGACUUUUUCGAAGAGUCGAGUUGUUUGGGAAUGCAGCUCAAAGUGGGUGGUAAAUUCCAUCUAAAGCUAAAUAUUGGCGAGAGACCGAUAGCGAACAAGUACAGUGAUGGAAAGAUGAAAAGAACUUUGAAAAGAGAGUGAAAAAGUACGUGAAAUUGUUGAAAGGGAAGGGCAUUUGAUCAGACAUGGUGUUUUUGCAUGCACUCGCCUCUCGUGGGCUUGGGCCUCUCAAAAAUUUCACUGGGCCAACAUCAAUUCUGGCAGUAGGAUAAAUCAUUAAGAAUGUAGCUACCUCGGUAGUGUUAUAGCUUAUUGGAAUACUG